This 387-nucleotide ribosomal RNA is filed under the name uncultured bacterium. RNAcentral's name for it is "bacterial SSU rRNA". It matches the Rfam family "Bacterial small subunit ribosomal RNA", at positions 29 to 417 of the family's 1533-position model. The record is from RNAcentral.
AUUGAACGCUGGCGGCAUGCCUUACACAUGCAAGUCGAACGGCAGCACGGGAGCAAUCCUGGUGGCGAGUGGCGAACGGGUGAGUAAUACAUCGGAACGUGCCCAGUAGUGGGGGAUAACCCGGCGAAAGCCGGACUAAUACCGCAUACGACCUACGGGUGAAAGCAGGGGAUCGCAAGACCUUGCGCUAUCGGAGCGGCCGAUGUCAGAUUAGCUAGUUGGCGGGGUAAAAGCCCACCAAGGCGACGAUCUGUAGCUGGUCUGAGAGGACGACCAGCCACACUGGGACUGAGACACGGCCCAGACUCCUACGGGAGGCAGCAGUGGGGAAUUUUGGACAAUGGGCGCAAGCCUGAUCCAGCCAUGCCGCGUGCGGGAAGAAGGCCU